RNAcentral lists this unclassified non-coding RNA (391 nucleotides) under soil metagenome. RNAcentral's name for it is "partial contains 5.8S ribosomal RNA, internal transcribed spacer 2, and large subunit ribosomal RNA". The stretch from base 1 to 120 matches the Rfam family "5.8S ribosomal RNA", at positions 35 to 154 of the family's 154-position model. The record is from RNAcentral.
GAUGAAGAACGUAGCGAAUUGCGAUAAGUAAUGUGAAUUGCAGAAUUCAGUGAAUCAUCGAAUCUUUGAACGCACCUUGCACCCCUUGGUAUUCCGAGGGGUACGCCCGUUUGAGCAUCAUUGUAAUCUCACACCCAAAGGUUUUAUUACCGGAGGGAGGUGGACUUGGAUGUUGCGGCGUUGAUGCCGCUCAUCUCAAAUGUGUUUGCGUAUCGUUUUGUAAUGCGUAGUCGGUGAUAAGUAUCUUCACCGCAGUCGAAAGGCGCGUCAUACGAAUCGCUCUGCGCUCUCUAAUGGUCCCUUUGGGACAACGGCACGUCCGCUCUUGACUAUUUGGCCUCAAAUCGGGUGGGAUUACCCGCUGAACUUAAGCAUAUCAAUAAGCGGAGGA